Molecule: long non-coding RNA, 252 nt
Filed under: Pogona vitticeps (central bearded dragon)
Lineage: Eukaryota; Metazoa; Chordata; Lepidosauria; Squamata; Agamidae
Description: lncRNA (ENSPVIG00000022535.1)
Source: RNAcentral
UUGAGUGCUUGAGAAACCCCUAGUGGCAGGUGACAGCACCACCCGUUUCUGCACAGCUAAAGAGAACACAUAUCAAAGGAAUCACCCUCUUCAAAACAUACCUGUUGAAACAUCAUCCUCUUGAACCGUCCACCCAGGCAAACUACACAGAAUUGAUACCUGGCCAGAGACCCUGCAGCGACAAUUAUAGAAGAUGAAUGGUGCUCCCCCCACCUCGGUAAUGUCUCAGUAUCUUAAAAACAAUUGAUAUUU